AUUGAACGCUGGCGGCAUGCCUUACACAUGCAAGUCGAACGGUAACAGGUCUUCGGAUGCUGACGAGUGGCGAACGGGUGAGUAAUACAUCGGAACGUGCCCGAUCGUGGGGGAUAACGAGGCGAAAGCUUUGCUAAUACCGCAUACGAUCUACGGAUGAAAGCGGGGGAUCUUCGGACCUCGCGCGGACGGAGCGGCCGAUGGCAGAUUAGGUAGUUGGUGGGAUAAAAGCUUACCAAGCCGACGAUCUGUAGCUGGUCUGAGGGGAUGAUCAGCCACACUGGGACUGAGACACGGCCCAGACUCCUACGGGAGGCAGCAGUGGGGAAUUUUGGACAAUAGGCGAAAGCCUGAUCCAGCCAUGCCGCGUGCAGGAUGAAGGCCUUCGGGUUGUAAACUGCUUUUGUACGGAACGAAAAGCCUCUUUCUAAUAAAGAGGGGUCAUGACGGUACCGUAAGAAUAAGCACCGGCUAACUACGUG
This 482-nucleotide ribosomal RNA is filed under the name uncultured bacterium. Its description in RNAcentral is "partial 16S ribosomal RNA". It matches the Rfam family "Bacterial small subunit ribosomal RNA", at positions 30 to 507 of the family's 1533-position model. The record is from RNAcentral.